This is an RNA transcript of Oryza sativa Japonica Group (Japanese rice), 1186 nucleotides long. RefSeq lists it as uncharacterized. NCBI's taxonomy places the organism in Eukaryota, Viridiplantae, Streptophyta, Magnoliopsida, Poales, Poaceae. The record is from RefSeq and is a predicted model, not a curated record.
CUAUUUAUAUUAGGUGUUGAUACAGCUGUACGCCUGUACCCACCAUUCUCAUUCUUUAAUUUCUCAUACGAUCCUGAUUUUUCAGAUCGAUGACGAGACAUAUGUGAGGAGAUCCUAACAUCCCUCAACUAUCGAGGCGGAUCUGGGGGGAUUGACGCCCUGUUCUUCUUCAUAGCCGGCGGAGGAGCGUUGGCGGUGACAUCUCCGACAGCAUGGACUCCAGCAAGGAGGCUACCCCGAUUUACGCGGAUCUGGCGACGGUGCGGCGGUGGCAGCCAUGCGGGCGAGGCCAUCCCGAGCGGUGGCCGGUGACUGGGCGACCUGGUGGGGUGGAGCAGCGGUGGCGUGGUGGUCGUCGGCAGGGACGCCAUCGGAUUUGUGGCCACCGAUGGCCGUCACGACCAGGAGCAGCCGCAGCAUCAUCCCUUCUCCCAUCGCCUUCCAUUGCAGUGGCAGGCCAGGCCUGAUGGCGUCACAUCCAUGGCCGCUUCCUCACCACCGCCAUCACUGUGGAAGAUGACGGCGGGAGGGACAGCAGCAACAAGAGGAGGCGGUGGCACCGCCGACACAAGCAAGUGUCAUCGACGGGCUACGACGGCAACAAACAUCCACCAUGCGCGGAUGCGCCGCUACCGCCCAUUGGGCCUUCUACCCUCCUUCCAAGCAACUCCCUAUGGUGGUCCCAGCACCACUGGGAAUCUGGGAUGGCCUCCGGUCCGUCGGUGGAGGCUGCAGACGAGAUGACGGCGCUUGGAUCUACGGGACUACGGCUGCAGGUCUUCAUCGUCGGCUGUCGAGCUCCAGCCAGGCCUCUUCCUAUCAGUGCUGCCUGGAUGCUCUGUGUGGUGGGGGUUUUUCUCUGAGGCGUCGAUGCCUCGUUCAUCUUCACCGGCGGAAGGAGCAGAAAGGAGGACGACGAUUGAACAGUCGACGCCCGCUAUUUCCGUUUUUUCUAUCUAGACAUCAUCGAGAGCAACCCAUAUUUAUUUCCUCACCCCGUGUCCAUGUUCUUUUUUUGUUCCUUUUUUUUUUCCCACCGUGUGUAUAAGUGUAUCAAGAUCACUACAUGCACGUGAUUCAUCCCAGCGGAGUUAAAAAAUUACUAGGCCAUGUCUUUUUUUAUGUCAACAAAAAUCUUACUAUGCCCACUGGGAAUGAUAAAGUGAAAAUGCGCAGUAAUUUUUUU